UAGGGAAUCUUCGGCAAUGGGGGCAACCCUGACCGAGCAACGCCGCGUGAGUGAAGAAGGUUUUCGGAUCGUAAAGCUCUGUUGUAAGAGAAGAACGAGUGUGAGAGUGGAAAGUUCACACUGUGACGGUAACUUACCAGAAAGGGACGGCUAACUACGUGCCAGCAGCCGCGGUAAUACGUAGGUCCCGAGCGUUAUCCGGAUUUAUUGGGCGUAAAGCGAGCGCAGGCGGUUAGAUAAGUCUGAAGUUAAAGGCUGUGGCUUAACCAUAGUACGCUUUGGAAACUGUUUUAACUUGAGUGCAGAAGGGGAGAGUGGAAUUCCAUGUGUAGCGGUGAAAUGCGUAGAUAUAUGGAGGAACACCGGUGGCGAAAGCGGCUCUCUGGUCUGUAACUGACGCUGAGGCUCGAAAGCGUGGGGAGCAAACAGGAUUAGAUACCCUGGUAGUCCACGCCGUAAACGAUGAGUGCUAGGUGUUGGGUCCUUUCCGGGACUCAGUGCCGCAGCUAACGCAUUAAGCACUCCGCCUGGGGAGUACGACCGCAAGGUU
Molecule: ribosomal RNA, 550 nt
Filed under: uncultured bacterium
Lineage: Bacteria
Description: bacterial SSU rRNA
Rfam family: Bacterial small subunit ribosomal RNA
Source: RNAcentral